AUGCUGGACUACCUACAGAGACUUUACAGAAACGGCGCUGAGCUCUGUUCGUGGUUCAGGUGGGACCGGCAGUGGGUGGUGGUGAACGCCAAGGGCAGGGCCCUCACGCAGCGGGUGGAGCCCAGGAUGGCGCUGAUGGAGGUGGAGUUGCCGCCGGCGGCCUUCGACGAGGACUGGCAGCCCGCCCCCCACUCCUGCUUGGUUAUACGAGCACCCGGGAUGGACACACUGAAGGUCCCUCUUGCUGCGGAACACACCACGCUUGACGACGUCUCCGUCUGGGAGUGGUCUGGUUCUGCUUAUGAUGAAGGAGCUGAAGCAGCUGAAUGGCUCUCCGCCUAUUUCGGGAAGCCAAGUCGGCUCGUGCGGUUUAAAGAAGAGUCCGAAAUCAGGCCGACUAAUCCUGAGUAUGCUCAAGGCUACAAGAUCACCUUCACGGAUUGCUUCCCGUUUCUGAUAGCAUCCCAGGGCUCACUGGAUGCACAAAAUGAGCUUCUUAAAGAACAUGUACCAAUCAAUCGCUUUAGACCAAAUAUUUUAGUGGAUGGAUGCCACCCGUACGUAGAGGAUCUGUGGAAAACCAUAAAGAUAAACAAGCUAACAUUUGACGGCGUGAAGUUAUGCGACCGUUACAAGGUAAAAUUCCCAGAUCUGGUGCUGCGGUUGAGUAUGCUUGCUACUAUCCUAUCUUGA
RNAcentral lists this ribosomal RNA (693 nucleotides) under Triticum aestivum (bread wheat). Its description in RNAcentral is "partial small subunit ribosomal RNA". Lineage: Eukaryota; Viridiplantae; Streptophyta; Magnoliopsida; Poales; Poaceae. The record is from RNAcentral.